This is a long non-coding RNA of Symphalangus syndactylus (siamang), 764 nucleotides long. RefSeq lists it as uncharacterized. Lineage: Eukaryota; Metazoa; Chordata; Mammalia; Primates; Hylobatidae. The record is from RefSeq and is a predicted model, not a curated record.
CUCUCCGCCCCCUCCGCCAUCCGGAAUGCUGACCCGCGCGGAGUGCGGGGGCGGCCGAGGGCGGGAGCGGCGAGGAGGCGGGACGCGACACACGCACCACGCCGAGAACUGCUUCACCGCUUUUUAAAAGGUCGCAGAGGGAGCGGCGGACGCAGCGCCAGGGAACCCAGGACCGGGAGAGGAGGAGCGGCGGUGACGGCGGCGGUAACUCGUGAGGAGCGAGAAACAGCCCCAGCGCGCGACAGGGGAGGGGGCGACGGGGGCGGGGCGCGAGCCGACGGACUGCGAGGACGGUCACCGCUGCGACGGACGGCUGGGCGCGCGCACGCGCGCUCCACUCCCUCCGCCCCCGGGAGCCCGAAAAAGAUUCCCACCCUCGCCCGCGCCACUGGCCCCUCCCCCACUUCCGGCGUCUCCUAGCGACGGCCGGGGUAGGGGCCGGGAUGCGUGCGGGAGUUGGUGGCGCAGUUAACCCUUCCGCCGCCCGCUUGCCCCUGGAGCGGCUGGAGAAGCCCCCACCUCCCGGCGGCCUUUGUUAGCCCGGCGGGAACACACCACCCUGCUCUGCUGGCUUCCCGCCGGCUCCCUCCGGGACUCAUCUCGGCUCUGUCCCCAUGGAGGUCAUCGGCCUGGGGAACUUCUCGAGGCUUUUCUCCCUCUGCUGCUGACAGGAGGCCGAAGGAGGGCACAGCCUCCACUCUUGGGACCCUCCUCUGUGAAAGAUCACACCUCAGCAGGGCAGGAAUAAAACAAACUUUCACGCA